Molecule: long non-coding RNA, 222 nt
Filed under: Elaeis guineensis (African oil palm)
Lineage: Eukaryota; Viridiplantae; Streptophyta; Magnoliopsida; Arecales; Arecaceae
Description: long non-coding RNA (EGUI_LNC005826)
Source: RNAcentral
UGGGUGCUAUAUUUCACCAAGCGUGGGCAAGUCUUAUCUACUUGUAAAAAUCUUAGAAAUAUAUGUGGUUCUGAAAAUUAGAAGAUGUUUUCUGGCAUCCCUUACUGUGGCAACUCAGCGUUACCAAAUCCUUUAACUAUUGCACUAGGUUCCGUUAGUUGUACUCACGUUCUACUACAUGGCACAGGGAACUCAAUUAGCAUUAGUGUUGAUAAUCUUCUU